Molecule: ribosomal RNA, 756 nt
Filed under: uncultured bacterium
Lineage: Bacteria
Description: bacterial SSU rRNA
Rfam family: Bacterial small subunit ribosomal RNA
Source: RNAcentral
CAUUGAACGCUGGCGGCAUCCCUACCACAUGCAAGUCGAACGGCAGCACGGGAGCAAUCCUGGUGGCGAGUGGCGAACGGGUGAGUAAUGUAUCGGAACGUACCUUUCAGUGGGGGAUAACGUAGCGAAAGUUACGCUAAUACCGCAUAUUCUGUGAGCAGGAAAGCAGGGGAUCGCAAGACCUUGCGCUGAUUGAGCGGCCGAUAUCAGAUUAGCUAGUUGGUGAGGUAAAGGCUCACCAAGGCGACGAUCUGUAGCGGGUCUGAGAGGAUGAUCCGCCACACUGGAACUGAGACACGGUCCAGACUCCUACGGGAGGCAGCAGUGGGGAAUUUUGGACAAUGGGGGCAACCCUGAUCCAGCCAUGCCGCGUGAGUGAAGAAGGCCUUCGGGUUGUAAAGCUCUUUCAGCCGGGAAGAAAUCACAUGGGUUAAUACCCUGUGUGGAUGACGGUACCGGAAUAAGAAGCACCGGCUAACUACGUGCCAGCAGCCGCGGUAAUACGUAGGGUGCGAGCGUUAAUCGGAAUUACUGGGCGUAAAGCGUGCGCAGGCGGUUUGUUAAGAUAGGCGUGAAAUCCCCGGGCUCAACCUGGGAACUGCGUUUAUGACUGGCAGGCUAGAGUAUGGCAGAGGGGGGUGGAGUUCCACGUGUAGCAGUGAAAUGCGUAGAGAUGUGGAGGGACACCGAUGGCGAAAGGCAGCCCCCUGGGCCAAUACUGACGCUCAUGCACGAAAGCGUGGGUAGCAAACAGGA